AUUAAACAAACAAAAAACAAAUGCCUUUGCGCAGCAGGGGGUCAUGAUAGCCGUCAGAAGAGCGAAAGGUUGGAUCCCGCUGCAAAAUAACAAAAGUCUCAGAUCCAAUGUAGCAAUCUCUUAUCAUUAAAAUAGAGAACCCCCUCCAGAGCAGAGCUGCUAAAAUGCCGGGAGUGGCAAAGAGAUGGACACCGAGUUAAUUGCCUGUGGCAAGUGUCUUCAGAUCUCUGAGACAGGUGACGGAGGGACACUCUAGAGGACAGAGGAGAUCUCCAAAGACAGCCGAUGUCGCAAGAGAGGAGAAUAGUGACAGUGGUUCCAAAGAAUAAAGUUGUAUAUACUCUGAAGAUCCUCGGUAAUUGCACUGCAAUAUGAGCAAGAGAGAGAACGAGUGGCACACCCAAUGUGAGCUAGCAGGAAUAACUACAGAUUUCAUGGUUGUGACAUCACCACCGGGGUCAUUAAGUAAGAUAUGACAACUACAAGCCCCAAAAUUCACCAGUUCCAUUCUCCAGAAGCUUACUGCAUAAUUUAGACAGAGAUCACAACAAAUAAUGAAGGCCGACUACGAUCUUCCAGAAGAACAUUCAAUAUUGAUCUGAAGACAUCAAGAGAUGGAGAAUCCACCCUUCCCUUGGUAGUUUGUUCCAGGAGUUAAUCACCCUCACUGUUAAAAGAGUUUUUUCAGAGGGUGCGAGAAGUCUAGUUCUAUAGUUACUGGGAUUAUGGCAAUGUUCAUCUACUUAUAUGGUAUGCAAAAAAGAAACAAUCUUCAAACUAUGAAAGGAAUGCUGUCAGGGGGACAAAUUCUUAAAUUACUAAUCAGUUUUUACUCAUUCCAAACACAGAGUGUAUAAUCCCAACCCAUUGCAGACAAUGCUAGUUUUGCAAUUGACUUCAGUGGGGCCAGGAUUUCACUUGAGUAGGUUUUUUAUGCAGCAUAAAAACAACAUGGUUUUAUUGAGUUUAGUUCCUAGUUGUUAGCAUACUCAUCCUCUAAAGUAGCACAAAUUCUACACGAGAUGCUUCAUGUUGCUGUAUUUUACAAAGUAAUAGACAAUCCUUUAAAACAUAAAAUUAACAAUCUUGCAUGGAUGACUUUAAUUAGAUAUUCCUGGUAUAAAACAACCAUUAUGUACAUUUUAUGGUUAUUAAAUUUAUUAGACAUAAAGAUGCACUGGUUGCAACAUUUAUUUGUAUGAUUUUGGUAUGGAGCUUAUAUACAGCUUAUAUCUGUAAUUUAACUUUCCAAUACUCAUUGUAAAAUAAUUUCACAUUUCUAAUUUCUUAUGUUUGUUGCACUGUACUCUGAAAAACAAAAUAUAUAGAAUACAGUUUGUAUUUUAAAAGGAGCAAGAUUGUUGAUGUUAUAGAUGUGUUGUGUAUUCUAGGCCAUUACCCUCUCCGUAUUCAAGCUCACUACUUUCAUGAUGCCCAUAAAAAGUGAACAAACACAACAAUCUUGUAACUCAAAGCUAAUCCUUCUUCUAGGCUUUCCAGGAGUCCAGGACAUCCUUCUUCUCCAUUUUGUCUCUUAGGAUCCAUGUUUAUUCUCCUCAGUA
Molecule: non-coding RNA, 1562 nt
Organism: Caretta caretta (loggerhead turtle)
Lineage: Eukaryota; Metazoa; Chordata; Testudines; Cheloniidae
Source: RefSeq, a predicted model, not a curated record